RNAcentral lists this ribosomal RNA (517 nucleotides) under uncultured Aerococcus sp. RNAcentral describes it as "bacterial SSU rRNA". It matches the Rfam family "Bacterial small subunit ribosomal RNA", at positions 10 to 510 of the family's 1533-position model. Lineage: Bacteria; Bacillati; Bacillota; Bacilli; Lactobacillales; Aerococcaceae. The record is from RNAcentral.
AGUUGAUCCUGGCUCAGGACGAACGCUGGCGGCAUGCCUAAUACAUGCAAGUCGAGCGAACAGAUGAAGUGCUUGCACUUCUGACGUUAGCGGCGAACGGGUGAGUAACACGUAAGGAAUCUACCUAUAAGCGGGGGAUAACAUUCGGAAACGGGUGCUAAUACCGCAUAAUAUCUUCUUCCGCAUGGAAGAAGGUUGAAAGACGGCUCUGCUGUCACUUAUAGAUGACCUUGCGGUGCAUUAGUUAGUUGGUGGGGUAACGGCCUACCAAGACGAUGAUGCAUAGCCGACCUGAGAGGGUGAUCGGCCACAUUGGGACUGAGACACGGCCCAAACUCCUACGGGAGGCAGCAGUAGGGAAUCUUCCGCAAUGGGCGAAAGCCUGACGGAGCAACGCCGCGUGUGCGAAGAAGGUCUUCGGAUCGUAAAGCACUGUUGUUAAGGAAGAACGACAGUAAGAGUAACUGCUUACUGUGUGACGGUACUUAACCAGAAAGCCACNGNUAACUACGUGCCA